CUACGGGACGCAGCAGUGGGGAAUAUUGCACAAUGGGCGAAAGCCUGAUGCAGCAACGCCGCGUGAGUGAUGAAGGCCUUCGGGUCGUAAAACUCUGUCCUCAAGGAAGAAUAAUGACGGUACUUGAGGAGGAAGCCCCGGCUAACUACGUGCCAGCAGCCGCGGUAAUACGUAGGGGGCAAGCGUUAUCCGGAAUCACUGGGCGUAAAGGGUGCGUAGGCGGUUUUACAAGUCAGGUGUGAAAGGCUAUGGCUCAACCAUAGUAAGCACUUGAAACUGUAUAACUUGAGUGCAGGAGAGGAAAGUGGAAUUCCUAGUGUAGCGGUGAAAUGCGUAGAUAUUAGGAGGAACACCAGUGGCGAAGGCGACUUUCUGGACUGUAACUGACGCUGAGGCACGAAAGCGUGGGGAGCGAACAGGAUUAGAUACCCGGGUAGUC
This 439-nucleotide ribosomal RNA is filed under the name uncultured bacterium. RNAcentral describes it as "partial 16S ribosomal RNA". It matches the Rfam family "Bacterial small subunit ribosomal RNA", at positions 339 to 795 of the family's 1533-position model. The record is from RNAcentral.